Danio rerio (zebrafish) is the source of this 2828-nucleotide long non-coding RNA. The record is from Ensembl. Lineage: Eukaryota; Metazoa; Chordata; Actinopteri; Cypriniformes; Danionidae.
AUGAAGGCCAAACAGCCUCCUUUCAAAAGAGCACGUCAGGACAAAGAACCUUCCGCUGCUGUGGCAAGUGACUAUGAUGCUGAUUCCAGUGCUUCAACAGUCAUUCUGUCAUCGCCUUCAAGUUCAAGCACCCCACGGCAAGAAAAUGACAGCAUUGAUGAAGCAUCUGAUGGUCCUGACAACAGCCUUGACAGCCAGAAAACCCAGGCAAGACAUUACAGGACCCUACAAGAAAUGUACAAAGCAAAGAAGCCAAAUAAAGCUGCUGUAACCCAUCUAUUAGACCUGGAGUUCCAGUCCAGAAGAAGUUUCAUUGACUCAAAUGUAUUGAAGGAGCAAGACAAACCCACAAAUAUUUUGCAAGCGUACCCCUGCUUCAAAGAAUUGGACCAUGCAAUGGAUGAACUACGAAGAAUCAUUGAGCCAAACAACUCCAAAUACAUUUCUGAGGUGAAGGACAGGUGGGAGACCUUCUACUCCAAGGUUCAGUUUUAUGGAGUGAUGAAAAAAGUCAUGAAGCCUCCAAGGACAUUAAAUGGAGGUAAAACUUUAAUUUAAUUUGAAUCUGUAUAGAUCAAGGGUUCUCAACUCUGGUCCUUAAGGUCCAGUAUAACUCCAAUCCUAAUUAAACAAACCUGAGCUAAUCUGUGUUUCCAGUUUCUAACAAAAAUCUACAGGCUGGUGACUUUAGAGCUAAAGGUUGGAGCUGACCUGUAAUCUCAAGGGCCAAGUGUUGAGAACCCUUGUUAUAGAUCAGUUAUUUUUUUAAUUCAAGAAGUUUUCUGUUUUCAGUUGAAAACAAUGUUGUGUAAACAGUCCCUUAAUUCAGGUCUCCAGGAUCAGAAACCAGUGGUAUAGAUUAUUCCCAUACAUCUACAGUAAUAUCUGAUGUUAAUAUCUUUUUUUUUUUUAACUUAUCUAGUUGAACAUGCCAUUGCUGUUUUUACUGCCCUACCGCUGCUCUUCCCAUCUGGGUCUGCAGCACCGAAGAAACAGGUCCCAAUCAGUGAGGCUCUUUUCCAUGUUCUGACGGUGAGUUUUACUUUAAGUAGUGAUAAGUUAAUAACAGGUGACUACAUUGUCAAUAAAAUACUAAGUUAAAACCAUCCCAAUUGCACUACGUAAAAUUGGACAUGCAAUGUAACAACUAACUUAAAGGUAUUGUAGAAAUUUUUUUAAUUAUGUCUUCAUUUACUUAAUCACAACCUGCUGAACACAAAAGUAAGAUAUUUUGAAGAAUGUUGAUAUGCCAACCCAGAUCUGUUGGGUUGGCAUUCACUUCCAUUGAAGAAAAAAAAAUAUGGAAGUGAAUAGUGACCCAGAUCUUAUAUUAAUUUUUGCUGUGUUUGUAGUCUGAAUUCUGUAUUUUUGUUAUUUGGUUUUCUAGCCCUCAGAGGACCCGGAUACCUACAUCCACAGGCGUGCACUUUCCAGUCCUGUCUUGCUGGUUGGUGAGGAGAACUGCAUGGUGGUUGUAGGUACAACCCCAGUUCUAACAUUUGACAAAGACUUGCUCUAUGAGGGGCCUCUCUACCUCCUGGCCUAUUACUAUGCAUUUCAUCUCACAUAUCCAAAGUGUCUUGCAACACUCCUGUCUGUGUUGCAAACACAAGUUCUGAGAGAUGUCAUCCACGAGCAGGAUGAAACCCCCUCGUACAAAAAGGCCAUUCAUGAAUGGAGAAUGUUUGUUGACUAAUUGCUGUUUCAAACUGCUGUGGCUGAGAGACAGCUGCAUUUUUUUUUCGGCCAUUACAUUUGCACUUGAUUUGUGCUGUUAGGAGUUUUUCCCCAUUUUCAGGAGAUUAAAUGUAUCUAACAUACAGUAAUGCAGCACAGCAAAACCAAAAAAAGUAAUUGCUGUGUGUAACUUUACAGGACUGCUGAGGGUAUACAGUGUUGUUUUGUGCCAGAGUAUAUUUUUUGUUGUUAUUAUUAACGUUGGACUGUUCAUCCUGUUUUGCUGUACCUCAGUUGUUUAAGAGAAAUGAAAAUGUUCAUUUUUGAAUCUGCCAUGGAUUCAAGGCAUUGUUGACCCAAACUUCAAUUACUUCCUAAUCUUAUGUUGUUUCAAACCUGUUUUUUUUUUCUUUUGGCUACAGAAGAUAUUAUUUAGAAUGUUGGGAACUGUUGAUGGUAGCUAUUGACUUUCAUAGUAUUUUUUUUAUUUAUUUUGUAUAUUUUUCUAGCUAUGAAAGCUGGCGACAUUCUUCAAAGUGUCGUCUUCUGCAAAAAAAAAAAAAAAAACUCAUAAGGAUUUGAAGAACAUAAGGGUGAGCAUGAUAAUUAUUUGAUUUUUGGGUUGCUAUCAUGUUACGAAAUAAAUUGAUCCAGGCUGUUUGAAGCUUAAAUGCUGUUUGAGUUUGUGUAGACUGAGGCAAAGCAUUUUGCGUAGAAUACUUGCGGUUUCUGUGCCAGGUAUUUUAUUUAAUUUUAAAGUGUAAGCUUGUCUUUGCUUAUCCUGCCUUAUGCUCCAUUUGUUUAGAACUUUAAAGAAUGUUCUUUAAUAAAUGUUCAGCAAAGCUGGAAGUUGUUUCUUCACUUAAAGUGGGGGAAGGUGUGGGAGGUACUUUCUUUUAAGAGUUUUCAUCUCAUUUAGGUUUUGUGUGAUUUAAAAAAAAUCUAAAUAGGCUGGAUUUAAGGUAAACUAUUCUGCUUUCAAUGCAUUUUCCCCCUAAAAUUAUUAUUGUCGUGCUUCAAAAAAGAGAAAACUGCUCAAUUUUAAGCUUGUUUGUCUAGUUUUAAGAACUAACUGUAGAUUUACUGACUAGAUUUAAGUUCAAAUAUUCUAGUUUUAAUGCAAUUUGUUCUAGAAUUAUUCAUGUUCAGUG